Molecule: ribosomal RNA, 251 nt
Filed under: uncultured prokaryote
Description: partial 16S rRNA
Rfam family: Bacterial small subunit ribosomal RNA
Source: RNAcentral
ACGUAGGAGGCAAACGUUAUCCGGAUUUACUGGGCGUAAAGCGCGUGUAGGUGGUUUGGUAAGUAGAGCGUGAAAGCUCCUGGCUCAACUGGGAGAGGUCGUUCGAAACUGCCGGACUAGAGGGUGGGAGAGGGAAGGGGAAUUCCGGGUGUAGCGGUGGAAUGCGAAGAUCUCCGGAGGACCACCAGUGGCGAAGGCGGCUUACUGGAACACACCUGACAGUCAGACGCGAAAGCUAGGGUAGCAAACGG